RNAcentral lists this ribosomal RNA (353 nucleotides) under uncultured bacterium. RNAcentral describes it as "bacterial SSU rRNA". It matches the Rfam family "Bacterial small subunit ribosomal RNA", at positions 29 to 408 of the family's 1533-position model. The record is from RNAcentral.
AACGAACGCUGGCGGCAGGCUUAACACAUGCAAGUCGAACGGUUGUAGCAAUACAGCAGUGGCGCACGGGUGAGUAACGCGUGGGAACGUGCCUUGAAGUUGGGAAUAACGUCGGGAAACUGACGCUAAUACCCGAUACGCCCUCCGGGGGAAAGAUUUAUCGCUUCAAGAUCGGCCCGCGUUAGAUUAGCUAGUUGGUGGGGUAAUGGCCUACCAAGGCUCCGAUCUAUAGCUGGUCUGAGAGGAUGACCAGCCACACUGGAACUGAGACACGGUCCAGACUCCUACGGGAGGCAGCAGUGGGAAUAUUGGACAAUGGGGGAAACCCUGAUCCAGCCAUGCCGCGUGAGUGA